Molecule: long non-coding RNA, 634 nt
Organism: Mus musculus (house mouse)
Lineage: Eukaryota; Metazoa; Chordata; Mammalia; Rodentia; Muridae
Product: predicted gene, 54153
Exons: 2
Source: RefSeq, a predicted model, not a curated record
GCGCCAUCAUACAGGUCACCGUCCUCCAGACCUGACUGUGGACACAAGGUCACGGUGAUCAAGCCCAGACCUGGCUGAGCAAGGGCCACUGACCUGGAUAUUGAGCCGUCCUCGGUGUGCUCCAAGACCAAAGGACUGGCUGCUGGAGGCCUCCAGCUGGCUAUCUGAAACCCUCAAGGACUCCAAGCCUAGAGGGGGACAUCCUGGGGUAAGGAUAGAACAGUGAGACAGGAUUAGAUAGAGGGUAACCAGAGAGGCUCGAGAACGGAGCCUAAGCUUGUUCAUAGGCUAGGCGGGGCCCCUGGGUAAGCAAUACCUGGUUCUUGUUUCUCAGGGAGAGUGAGGGUCUUUGCUGGGUGAGUGGGCACCACAGGCCUAGCAGUCCCCAAGGGACCAGGGUGCCUUAGCUUCUUUCGCUUCUUGACAACGAUCUUUUUUUUCUUGAUGACUCGAAGCCGGACAUGCCGUUCUGAGGUCUCUAGGGUACCAGGGGACAAUGUACCAAAGAAGAGAAGAAUGUCAUGAAACCCAGACGGAAAGGUCUGCUAGCCCAAGAAGGCAUUUGGGCAUAUGUGACACCUACAACAAUUACUGACAUCCUAGCACAGCACACAAGACCUGUUUCCUAACUCCA